UCGGGAAUUUUGCCCAAUGGACGAAAGUCUGAGGCAGCAACUCCGCGUGAGGGAUGAAGGCCUUCGGGUCGUAAACCUCUUUUCCCAGGGAAGAUCCAAGACGGUACCUGGGGAAUAAGCCACGGCUAACUACGUGCCAGCAGCCGCGGUAAUACGUAGGUGGCGAGCGUUGUCCGGAUUUACUGGGCGUAAAGCGCGCGCAGGCGGCCGGCCAAGUCCGAUGUGAAAUCUUCCGGCUUAACUGGAAAACGGCAUCGGAUACUGGUCGGCUGGAAGGUGGGAGAGGGUAGCGGAAUUCCCGGUGUAGUGGUGAAAUGCGUAGAUAUCGGGAGGAACACCAGUGGCGAAAGCGGCUACCUGGCCCACUCUUGACGCUGAGGCGCGAAAGCUAGGGGAGCGAACGGG
This 405-nucleotide ribosomal RNA is filed under the name Bacillota bacterium. RNAcentral describes it as "Firmicutes bacterium partial 16S ribosomal RNA". It matches the Rfam family "Bacterial small subunit ribosomal RNA", at positions 355 to 776 of the family's 1533-position model. Lineage: Bacteria; Bacillati; Bacillota. The record is from RNAcentral.